This 801-nucleotide ribosomal RNA is filed under the name uncultured bacterium. RNAcentral's name for it is "bacterial SSU rRNA". It matches the Rfam family "Bacterial small subunit ribosomal RNA", at positions 63 to 854 of the family's 1533-position model. The record is from RNAcentral.
CGGUUCCGAUGUUUUAGCAAUAAGGCGUCGGAAUAGUGGCGAAAGGGUGCGUAACACGUGGCUGACCUACCUCGAAGUGGGGGACAGCCCGGCGAAAGCCGGGUUAAUACCGCAUGUGAUCGCGAGAUCAAAGCUGGGGACCCGCAAGGGCCUGGCGCUUCGAGAUGGGGCCGCGGCCUAUCAGGUAGUUGGCGGGGUAAUGGCCCACCAAGCCGAUGACGGGUAGCUGGUCUGAGAGGACGACCAGCCACACUGGAACUGAGACACGGUCCAGACACCUACGGGUGGCAGCAGCCGAGGAUUUUUCUCAAUGGGCGCAAGCCUGAAGGAGCGACGCCGCGUGGGGGAUGACGGUCUUCGGAUUGUAAACCCCUGUCAUCUGGGAACAAUGGUUGCGACCCAAUACGUCGCAACUUGAUAGUACCGGAAGAGGAAGCCGUGGCUAACUCUGUGCCAGCAGCCGCGGUAAUACAGAGACGGCGAGCGUUGUUCGGAUUCAUUGGGCGUAAAGGGUCCGUAGGCGGUCGAGCAAGUCGGGUGUGAAAUCCCGCAGCCUAACUGCGGAAGGUCAUUCGAAACUGCUCGGCUCGAGGACUGGAGAGGAGACUGGAAUGGUCGGUGUAGCGGUGAAAUGCGUAGAGAUCGACCAGAACACCGGUGGCGAAGGCGGGUCUCUGGACAGUUCCUGACGCUGAGGGACGAAAGCUAGGGGAGCAAACGGGAUUAGAUACCCCGGUAGUCCUAGCCCUAAACUGUGCUCACUUGGUGUGGGGGGAGUCGACCCCCUCCGUGCCGGAGUUA